CAACAACCCCUUAUCACGAGCUUCUCUUGGAUGCAGUUUCGACGUUGCGCGUGUUAGAGUCCCUCCCUAUUCGGAAAACUUACAUUACCCAGUUGUCGACUCGUGCCUCGGUGUUGCACGUGACAUCUCGACUUUCUGACGAACACCACAGAGAAAAGUGGGUUCAUCGUGCUUUAAACUGUGAAACGAAGAGGCGGUGUGACCCGUUUCAUAACGAGCGGCAACGCGAUCGACCGGCCGAGCAAGUAAUCGCGGCGAUUCUCCGUCAAUCUUCGCUUGAUACGGUCCGACCAUUACGACAUCCUUUCGACGUGUAACCGAAGAACAAGAUCGAAGACAGGUUCGCAUCGACGAUAGCCUGGCGAGAAUGGGUUUUCAAUGUGCUGCUCGUCGGUGAGUUCUCUGAAAAUGUCUACGUAAAAUAUUUCUUGAUCGCGGUAAUGGAUAGAAAAUAACCUACUGCGUAUUGCCACUCGCAAAAUAUUUAUUACUCGAGAUUUGAUUCUAUUUUACUGCCAGGCCUUCCUUUCGCUCCUUACGAGAUAACAACUCUAGGUUACAUGGGGAUACAUUUCUCAAAACAUUUACAAAUUUAUCUUAUCUUUUAUGAUUGUUACGUAAUUUACAUCGAUAUAUCUUCCUUUUUUCAAGUUUUUUAUUUGUAGGUUGUAGAUAUGUCAUAGAUAUUAAUUAAAAUUGAUAUUAGUAAUAAUUAACAACAUAAUGAUAUCGUAACGAGUAGUAUAAUGGUUCAAAGACCUCUUAUGCAGUAUUAAUAACACUAUCAAACGUAAUCUAUGUUAAUCCUGCAACCGAAGCAAUUUCGAUAUCGAAUAUGGACA
Molecule: long non-coding RNA, 842 nt
Organism: Bombus pyrosoma
Lineage: Eukaryota; Metazoa; Arthropoda; Insecta; Hymenoptera; Apidae
Exons: 3
Source: RefSeq, a predicted model, not a curated record